GACUAUCAGUUAGUUGGUAGUGUAAUGGACUACCAAGACAGUGACGGUUGACGGGAAAUUAGGGUUUUGUACCGGAGAGGGAGCCUGAGAGAUUGCUCCCACGUCCAAGGACGGCAGCAGGCGCGAAAAUUGCCCACUCUUUGCAGGAGGCAGUUAUGAGACGUGAAGAUGAGUAUCUUGUAAAGAGGGAUAGGAGAAUUGGAGGGCAAGUUUGGUGCCAGCAGCCGCGGUAAUACCGACUCCAAGAGUGUGUAUGAGAGAUGCUGCAGUUAAAAAGUCCGUAGUCAUAGAAGGGCAAAGAGAGAUGCGAGGUCUCACAGUGCGAUGAUGGAGGAGCCGAUGGGGAACAUAGUAUACCAGGGCGAGAGAUGAAAUGCCAAGACCCCUGGUGGACUGAGCGAGGCGAAAGGCGAUUGUUCUUGUAGGCAUUCGGUGAUCAAGGACGAAGGCUGGAGGUAUCGGAAAGUGAUUAGAUACCGCAGUAGUUCCAGCAGUAAAAGAUGCC
Molecule: ribosomal RNA, 505 nt
Filed under: Vittaforma corneae
Lineage: Eukaryota; Fungi; Microsporidia; Nosematidae
Description: SSU rRNA
Rfam family: Microsporidia small subunit ribosomal RNA
Source: RNAcentral